Molecule: ribosomal RNA, 467 nt
Filed under: uncultured bacterium
Lineage: Bacteria
Description: bacterial SSU rRNA
Rfam family: Bacterial small subunit ribosomal RNA
Source: RNAcentral
GGUGAACGCUUGCAGUAUGCUUAACACAUGCUAGUUUUUAAGUUUUAUAACUUAGCGCACGGGUGAGUAAUAACUUUUGUUACCUUAACUUUAAAAUAAUUAAAGUUUAUUGCUUACGCAUUUUAACUAAUUUAAUAAUAUUAAAGGUUUAACACUGAGUUAAGAUAACUAAAGUAUGGUAUUAAGUUGUUGGUUAGGUAACGGCUGACCAAGCUGAUGAUUCCUAACUGGUUAGAGAUAAUGUACCCAGUCACAUUUGGAACUGAGACAAUGUCCAAGCCUAAGCCAGCAGUGCGGAAUAUUGGACAAUGAGCAAUGCUUGAUCCAGCAAUACUGCUUAAAUGAGGAAAAUGUAAAAGGUAAAAGAGUAAUGAACCUUUUUAUCGUUUGUAAAAUUUUAGCUUUAAAAAAUGAUAAUGACGUUUUUUAAAAAAAGCUCCGGCUAACCUCGUGCCAGCAGCCGCGGU